GAUGAACGCUGGCGGCGUGCUUAACACAUGCAAGUCGAACGGAAAGGCCUCUGCUUGCAGGGGUACUCGAGUGGCGAACGGGUGAGUAACACGUGGGUGAUCUGCCCUGCACUUCGGGAUAAGCCUGGGAAACUGGGUCUAAUACCGGAUAGGACAAUGGUUUGGAUGCUGUUGUGGAAAGUUUUUCGGUGUGGGAUGAGCUCGCGGCCUAUCAGCUUGUUGGUGGGGUAAUGGCCUACCAAGGCGUCGACGGGUAGCCGGCCUGAGAGGGUGUACGGCCAAAUUGGGACGGGAGAACGGCCCAAACUCCAACGGGGGGCAGCAGUGGGGAAAAUUGCAAAAUGGGGGCAAGCCUGAUGCAGCGACGCCGGGGGGGGGGUGACGGCCUUCGGGUUGUAAACUCCUUUCGCUAGGGACGAAGCGUUUUUGGAACGGUACCGGGGAAAAAAGCACCGGCUAACUACGG
This 466-nucleotide ribosomal RNA is filed under the name uncultured bacterium. RNAcentral's name for it is "partial 16S ribosomal RNA". It matches the Rfam family "Bacterial small subunit ribosomal RNA", at positions 28 to 506 of the family's 1533-position model. The record is from RNAcentral.